CCCGAACGCUGGCGGCGUGGCUAAGACAUGCAAGUCGUACGGGUGCAGCAAUGCACCAGUGGCGGACGGGUGAGUAAUGAAUCGCUAAUGUACCCUCUUGUCUGGGAUAGCCGGUCGAAAGGCCGGGUAUACCAGAUGAUAUAACCGAAUCGCAUGGUUUGGUUCUCAAAGGGACAACCGCAUGAGGAGCAGGCGAUUUCGUAUCAGCUAGUUGGUGAGGUAACGGCUCACCAAGGCGACGACGCGUAGCUGGUCUGAGAGGACGGGCCAGCCACAUUGGGACU
RNAcentral lists this ribosomal RNA (284 nucleotides) under uncultured bacterium. RNAcentral describes it as "partial 16S ribosomal RNA". It matches the Rfam family "Bacterial small subunit ribosomal RNA", at positions 30 to 320 of the family's 1533-position model. The record is from RNAcentral.